RNAcentral lists this unclassified non-coding RNA (1219 nucleotides) under Nanophyetus schikhobalowi. RNAcentral's name for it is "sequence contains ITS1, 5.8S rRNA gene, ITS2". The stretch from base 774 to 926 matches the Rfam family "5.8S ribosomal RNA". Lineage: Eukaryota; Metazoa; Platyhelminthes; Trematoda; Plagiorchiida; Nanophyetidae. The record is from RNAcentral.
CAUUACAGAAAUCCCAAUUAAGCAAGAGCUCAGCACGACUGGGCGAGCAGACCAAUGAGUAGUCAUACUCGUUGAUCAAUAAUCCUCACAGCCUGACCAACUGUGGGGAAUGAGCGUGUUUGCGUGACACGGCACGCAUUCACGGUGAAGAGAGAAAAAGCGAAAAAAAGAGCUACCCUAAAGCUCAUGAAAAUGGUUUGAUCGCGUAUCCCGGCGCUUUCUUCCAUAUAUAUAAAGCAUUGCACAAAUAAUGAGUUUUGAGCUGGGGCUCAUUAGUGCACAUUACGAUUGCAUGGUUGUGGCAACCGGUGAUCGUUAACUGCAGCUUUGUCUGCCUACGGUGGAGCGAUCCAGUUCUGCCUUUCGCCUGUGCCUGGUACAUUCGUGUACCUACGCACAGUUCUGGUUGUGACAGGGUGCCUACCCGUCUGAUGCUCUUUGUUAUGCUUGCCGUCUGUAGAUGGUCAGUCCAUAUCAGGAGUGACGGGAUGUGCUGUCAAAAUUGGCAGUGCUAGGCUUAAUGAGUGGUUCGACAUAACGAGCUACGGCUCAGCCACCGCCCUGUUUGCUGUUUGUUGCAACAAAAUCCCAUAUUACACUGUUCAAGUGGUUCAGAUCGGACAUUGCUCACCCAACCGGUUUGAAUCAUUGCCCGACAUGCACCUGGUCUCGUACUGGAAUGCAUGUGCAGUCGCCUGGCGGUGCCUUAUCCUGGGCUAGACUGAGUAACCAAGCGUCGCUCAUCCGAAUCCCUGGAUGUUCGAUGUGAGUACAACUCUGUGCGGUGGAUCACUCGGCUCGUGUGUCGAUGAAGAGCGCAGCCAACUGUGUGAAUUAAUGUGAACUGCAUACUGCUUUGAACAUCGACAUCUUGAACGCAUAUUGCGGCCAUGGGUUAGCCUGUGGCCACGCCUGUCCGAGGGUCGGCUUAUAAACUAUCGCGACGCCCAAAAAGUCGCGGCUUGGGUCUUGCCAGCUGGCGUCAUAUCCCCUAUUUGGUCUUGUGCCUUUGUGGGGUGCCAGAACUAUGGCGUUUCCCUAAUGUACCCGGACGCACCAUGUUACGGCUAAAAGCCUUGACGAGAUGUGUCGAUAGAGUCGUGGCUCAGUUAUAUAUUUUAUGUGCGCGCUCUACCGUCAUGUUUUGUCUAUGGUUGGCUUGCUGUGGGUGGUUGUGUACCGAUGCUGACUAAUGUAUGUGCCAUAUGGCUCAUCAUUU